CCUACGGGAGGCAGCAGCGAGGAAUAUUGGUCAAUGGACGAGAGUCUGAACCAGCCAAGUAGCGUGAAGGAUGACUGCCCUAUGGGUUGUAAACUUCUUUUAUAUGGGAAUAAAAUGUUCCACGUGUGGGAUUUUGUAUGUACCAUAUGAAUAAGGAUCGGCUAACUCCGUGCCAGCCGCCGCGGUAAUACGGAGGAUCCGAGCGUUAUCCGGAUUUAUUGGGGUUAAAGGGAGCGUAGGUGGAUUGUUAAGGCAGUUGUGAAAGUUUGCGGCUCAACCGUAAAAUUGCAGUUGAAACUGGCAGUCUUGAGUACAGUAGAGGUGGGCGGAAUUCGUGGUGUAGCGGUGAAAUGCUUAGAUAUCACGAAGAACUCCGAUUGCGAAGGCAGCUCACUGGACUGCAACUGACACUGAGGCUCGAAAGUGUGGGUAUCAAACAGGAUUAGAUACCCGGGUAGUC
This 460-nucleotide ribosomal RNA is filed under the name uncultured bacterium. Its description in RNAcentral is "partial 16S ribosomal RNA". It matches the Rfam family "Bacterial small subunit ribosomal RNA", at positions 338 to 795 of the family's 1533-position model. The record is from RNAcentral.